Molecule: long non-coding RNA, 904 nt
Organism: Dalotia coriaria
Lineage: Eukaryota; Metazoa; Arthropoda; Insecta; Coleoptera; Staphylinidae
Exons: 3
Source: RefSeq, a predicted model, not a curated record
CACAAAUAGAUUUUCGACUCGAAGCACACAAGCAUCUACCGCGACCAUAGUAACAAGUUCACAAGAUUUAAAAGAAUAGUGAGACAAUUCGUGAGAAAAGUUAUUAUUUAACAACGAAUUUAGUACCCACUUAAAAUUGUUUUUGACUAGUUUCCUGUCAGUUGUACAGAGGUAGAAAAAGGUUCAGAGCUUGACUAAAGGGGCGCAAACGUGAGGGUUGGUGGAAGCGCACGUUUUCUACGCACGUCGACCCUUCUUGAAUCCAGCGUCCUUCGCCAGGCAAUCGACGCCUCCAAGUUUACUACCGUCUUGUCAGUUGAGAAAAAAACAACGCACACAACCUGCGCCUCGCCACGCAUCGCCGGUACAGCGACCCGAAGAACCGGCUCGCAUCUUCAUUGGGGCAAGUGCAAGUGCAGUCGCAACUGCAUUGUGCAUCGAUUUUAUUCCGUCAUAACCUUCGCACGCCGAUUGUGCAACGCGUUCCCGGAUUAGCGUCGGUGUGUUGCAUCUGGAAGCUGGGCGGCAGCAUGCGGCCGGUUGCGGGCCUAGCCGACACCGUGCGCGAGCAGUGCGUCAACUUCCUCAAGAACUGCCUCUUCGGCAUCAUCAUUGCGGCGAUGAUUGCGCACUACAUGUUCGAGAAUCUCACCCUCGACAUGACCUACGCCAAGUUUGCGAUUUUCUAAACAAGAAAGACAAUGCUUCGAACAAAUAUUUAUUUAUUGCCGCUCGAUUAAAUUUCUGCAACCUGCGAAAACCAAAGUGUUAGUAUUAUAAAGAAAACAAACAAACACACGUCCAAAACUGAAACCAACAAGUGAAUUGCUGUGAUAACACCACAUUUUUUUGUGUAAUCAUACAGUAAGUUAUUUUAUGUUAAAAUAAAUGCUUUAGUAAUGUG